This is a long non-coding RNA of Mercurialis annua (annual mercury), 1592 nucleotides long. RefSeq lists it as uncharacterized. NCBI's taxonomy places the organism in Eukaryota, Viridiplantae, Streptophyta, Magnoliopsida, Malpighiales, Euphorbiaceae. The transcript has 3 exons. The record is from RefSeq and is a predicted model, not a curated record.
UGUCUUCUUCAUUUUGUGGGUGCCGAAUACUCCAUAACUCACAACACCAAGCUUUAUUCUUUGAUUUUCUCUCAAAAAUUUCUUCACGAAAAUUGUCGGGAAUAUUGUGUAGAUCGUUAAGGUGUAUUUGCAUGUUCGUUUGAGAUCCAGCGAGUUUUGUCGCGGAAACCGGCGAGCAAAGGUUUUGAAUAUUCGACGGGUGAUAUUUUUAUAUUUGGAAUAAGCGAGUACUUGCUGUGUGAUCACCGGUAUUGCAUUUAGAAUGGGUUGCAUGUGAAAAUGGUAUGUGGAAAUCUGGACGACGGUCUGGAAGUCAGGCGACGGCCUAGACAUAUGGAAACAGAUCUUCAGAGGCAACGGAAUACAGACGACCAAAGGCAGUUAGCGAAACUGCCGAGAUCUGAGAGGUUGAACCUUUUAUUAAAAAAAGUGAAAUUAGCGACAGUAUUUAUGUACUGCCGAAAUCCGUUGUAUUGUAAGAAGAGUCUGGGACUUUCAAAUACGUAAAAUAAGAGUAAUCGGAUUUGACUGGCUAAAAGUACAAAAAGAGAAAAUAAAUACGGCCAAAGGAAAAUAAAAGGUUAACCCGAAUGGAAUGGAAAAAAAAGUGGAAUAUUUAUGUUUCCUGUUUUGAAAGCAUAUAGGAACAUGAUUCAUGGUUUAGGGUUUCAUAUGAAUCGGUAAUCUGGAAUGCAUUGCUUUCAUAUUAAUGUUUAUUAGUACAUGUUGUACGCAUUCACCAGUUUUUAUAACUGACCCCGUUGAAUUUAUAAUUUUUACAGGCGAGUAGUUUGACGUGUGGAUUUCCAAUUUCUUGUUCCGGAAAUCCCUGGCUUGAACAAAGUGAGAAUGACUUUCCUUUAUGUGUCUAGAGUUGCAGUAUCUAGAAUAAAUGAACGGUGAUACCUUAGUAGUCGUUGGACUUAUUUAUGCUUUAUAUUUUAUUAUAACGCUUAAACUCUGAUAUUGUGUAAUAUGGGAAUGCUGUGCGAAAGUCCGAGCGACUGCACUUGAAAAAAAUGCGACGAACGCAUCUGCAUAGUGAAAUGCAGUUAAGUCCAUAGAGAAAUGGCCUGCAUAGUGAAAUGCAGUAAUUACCAUAGUAAGAUGGUAUGCAUAAUGAGAUGCAUUAUAAACCAUAGAGAAAUGGUUUUGAAACAAAAAUGCAAUAAUUAAAGAGAAAAUUAUGUGCAUGUUUUAAAUGGUAAUUUUUAUAAGAACGUUUUAAACUGCGAUUUUAAAAUGUUCGAAAAUGAUUUGAAUUCCGCGAAAAAUUUUAAGUGAUUUUUAAUGUAUUUUUAAGGCUUGCUACGGGUUUCGGAGCAACCACUCCCAUUCCCUAGCGCCGGUCUCGACGCCGAGAAUCGGGUCGUGACAAAGGUGGUAUCAGAGCAAUGGUCGAAAAGUGGGUCAUUGUUGAGUUUGAUAUCAAAGUGAUGGUUUAUAGGCUUAAACCAUUACUAAUAUGUGAAAGGAACCCUAUGAUGUUGUUGAUUCCUAGGUAUCUUGGCACUAGAAUAAUCUAGCUAAGGAUUGAUAGAUUGAUAUAGAGUCUACUGCAACAUAUAAGUUUCUGUCAUGUCAUUUGUUAA